Molecule: ribosomal RNA, 760 nt
Filed under: Amnibacterium sp.
Lineage: Bacteria; Bacillati; Actinomycetota; Actinomycetes; Micrococcales; Microbacteriaceae
Description: bacterial SSU rRNA
Rfam family: Bacterial small subunit ribosomal RNA
Source: RNAcentral
GAGCUCGUAGGCGGUUUGUCGCGUCUGCUGUGAAAACGCGAGGCUUACCUAGCGCCUGCAGUGGGUACGGGCAGACUAGAGUGCGGUAGGGGAGAUUGGAAUUCCUGGUGUAGCGGUGGAAUGCGCAGAUAUCAGGAGGAACACCGAUGGCGAAGGCAGAUCUCUGGGCCGUUACUGACGCUGAGGAGCGAAAGCGUGGGGAGCGAACAGGAUUAGAUACCCUGGUAGUCCACGCCGUAAACGUUGGGAACUAGAUGUGGGGUCCAUUCCACGGAUUCCGUGUCGCAGCUAACGCAUUAAGUUCCCCGCCUGGGGAGUACGGCCGCAAGGCUAAAACUCAAAGGAAUUGACGGGGGCCCGCACAAGCGGCGGAGCAUGCGGAUUAAUUCGAUGCAACGCGAAGAACCUUACCAAGGCUUGACAUGCACCUGAAAAGGCUGGAAACAGUCUCCUCGCAAGACAGGUGCACAGGUGGUGCAUGGUUGUCGUCAGCUCGUGUCGUGAGAUGUUGGGUUAAGUCCCGCAACGAGCGCAACCCUCGUUCUAUGUUUGCCAGCGCGUCAUGGCGGGAACUCAUAGGAGACUGCCGGGGUCAACUCGGAGGAAGGUGGGGAUGACGUCAAAUCAUCAUGCCCCUUAUGUCUUGGGCUUCACGCAUGCUACAAUGGCCGGUACAAAGGGCUGCGAUACCGCAAGGUGGAGCGAAUCCCAAAAAGCCGGUCUCAGUUCGGAUUGAGGUCUGCAACUCGACCUCAUGAAG